UAAGUUGUGUUGUUAAGGGAAUAUUAAGCUUCUCAAUAAUCAAAAUUAGUGUUUGUCAAACUGCUAUAUAACCAGUGUAUUUUUUCUGAUAAAAUGGUUGGUUAAAAUUUUUUGAAAUUUUUAUAUUUUUGUCAAAUGGUCAAAGUAAAUACUUUGUCAAAAUUUUAUGAAAAUUAAACGAGCCAAAUUAAUUUUAGUGAUGGUGUUG
Molecule: long non-coding RNA, 208 nt
Filed under: Mytilus galloprovincialis (Mediterranean mussel)
Lineage: Eukaryota; Metazoa; Mollusca; Bivalvia; Mytilida; Mytilidae
Source: RNAcentral